RNAcentral lists this ribosomal RNA (522 nucleotides) under Bacillus cereus. RNAcentral describes it as "bacterial SSU rRNA". It matches the Rfam family "Bacterial small subunit ribosomal RNA", at positions 366 to 880 of the family's 1533-position model. Lineage: Bacteria; Bacillati; Bacillota; Bacilli; Caryophanales; Bacillaceae. The record is from RNAcentral.
CCGUUGAAUAGAGAGUCUGACGGAGCACGCCGCGUGAGUGAUGAAGGCUUUCGGGUCGUAAAACUCUGUUGUUAGGGAAGAACAAGUGCUAGUUGAAUAAGCUGGCACCUUGACGGUACCUAACCAGAAAGCCACGGCUAACUACGUGCCAGCAGCCGCGGUAAUACGUAGGUGGCAAGCGUUAUCCGGAAUUAUUGGGCGUAAAGCGCGCGCAGGUGGUUUCUUAAGUCUGAUGUGAAAGCCCACGGCUCAACCGUGGAGGGUCAUUGGAAACUGGGAGACUUGAGUGCAGAAGAGGAAAGUGGAAUUCCAUGUGUAGCGGUGAAAUGCGUAGAGAUAUGGAGGAACACCAGUGGCGAAGGCGACUUUCUGGUCUGUAACUGACACUGAGGCGCGAAAGCGUGGGGAGCAAACAGGAUUAGAUACCCUGGUAGUCCACGCCGUAAACGAUGAGUGCUAAGUGUUAGAGGGUUUCCGCCCUUUAGUGCUGAAGUUAACGCAUUAAGCACUCCGCCUGGGGAG